CAUGACGCCGUUUUUGACGUAUGUGACG
This 28-nucleotide non-coding RNA is filed under the name Mus musculus (house mouse). The record is from RNAcentral. Lineage: Eukaryota; Metazoa; Chordata; Mammalia; Rodentia; Muridae.